UUUCGGAAUGUGUGGGUGUCAGAAUAAGUUUAAUACUUUCCUGACAUGAUUAAACAUUAAUUAAAUUUACUGGCUCGAUAUUCAGGUCAGAACAGCAUUUUAACACGUAUUUUGUGAGUGUUUUUCUGAGUGUGUUCAAUUGCGAAUCCCCAUUGAACAUGCAUGAACAUCCGGGAACUUCGUCAGUAUUUUGCCUGGUUAGGAGGCGUAAUGUCGCUGUCCAUGAAGGGACAAUCAAUUCACGUAUGCAGGAAAGAGAC
Thalassophryne amazonica is the source of this 260-nucleotide long non-coding RNA. RefSeq lists it as uncharacterized. The transcript is spliced from 4 exons. The record is from RefSeq and is a predicted model, not a curated record. Lineage: Eukaryota; Metazoa; Chordata; Actinopteri; Batrachoidiformes; Batrachoididae.